Molecule: long non-coding RNA, 588 nt
Organism: Mastomys coucha (southern multimammate mouse)
Lineage: Eukaryota; Metazoa; Chordata; Mammalia; Rodentia; Muridae
Exons: 3
Source: RefSeq, a predicted model, not a curated record
GGUAAAUGGAGGCAUCCUCUCAACCAGUAAAUGGAAGACAUCACCUAGAUGACUCAGGGAAACUUGACAAAAGAAAUGGCUCACACAAAAUACGAUAUUCCGCUAUAAUAACAAGGCCAAGGAGAAAGAACCACAGAACUGUAACGGAAUAUGCGUUAGCAUGGCUGUACACUGUAAGAAGAGCAAAUGCAGUGACUGGCCCUCAGGGUGCUACUCUGGAGGCUUAGGGGAACUGGCAUAUGUGGAGGUAGUAAAGAACAUUUUUUGUAUGAGGACUCUAGAACUGUUAAAAGCUUGGUGGUGGCUUCAGAGAAGCCAGAUCUCUGAGAUACUGUGGAAAAUAAGAGAGGAUGUGGACCAUCUGGACAUGCUGAAGAGCCACAUUAGCCAAGACUGCUGAUGCCUCAUACGCUGACCCUGACAGUGGAGAGAGCCUUGAAAAACCGGAGAUCCUCCCAGUGGGCAGAGCUGCUGCUAGUGCUCCCACUCAUUCACUUUACGUCGGAAGAUAACUAGCCUGGAGUUAGAAGACAAGCAGGCUCACAUCCGGUUGGACUGGUUAAGGGCCUGGGAGAUGCAACAAUGGAA